UUACACAUGCAAGUCGAACGGCAGCACGGGUGCUUGCACCUGGUGGCGAGUGGCGAACGGGUGAGUAAUGUAUCGGAACGUGCCCUAGAGUGGGGGAUAACGUAGCGAAAGUUACGCUAAUACCGCAUACGAUCUACGGAUGAAAGUGGGGGAUCGCAAGACCUCAUGCUCAUGGAGCGGCCGAUAUCUGAUUAGCUAGUUGGUAGGGUAAAAGCCUACCAAGGCGACGAUCAGUAGCUGGUCUGAGAGGACGACCAGCCACACUGGGACUGAGACACGGCCCAGACUCCUACGGGAGGCAGCAGUGGGGAAUUUUGGACAAUGGGGGAAACCCUGAUCCAGCAAUGCCGCGUGUGUGAAGAAGGCCUUCGGGUUGUAAAGCACUUUUGUCAGGAACGAAACGGUGGGGGCUAAUACCCUCCGCUAAUGACGGUACCUGAAGAAUAAGCACCGGCUAACUACGUGCCAGCAGCCGCGGUAAUACGUAGGGUGCAAGCGUUAAUCGGAAUUACUGGGCGUAAAGCGUGCGCAGGCGGUUGUGCAAGACAGAUGUGAAAUCCCCGGGCUUAACCUGGGAAUUGCAUUUGUGACUGCACGGCUAGAGUGUGUCAGAGGGGGGUAGAAUUCCACGUGUAGCAGUGAAAUGCGUAGAUAUGUGGAGGAAUACCGAUGGCGAAGGCAGCCCCCUGGGAUAACACUGACGCUCAUGCACGAAAGCGUGGGGAGCAAACAGGAUUAGAUACCCUGGUAGUCCACGCCCUAAACGAUGUCAACUAGUUGUUGGGGAUUCAUUUCCUUAGUAACGUAGCUAACGCGUGAAGUUGACCGCCUGGGGAGUACGGUCGCAAGAUUAAAACUCAAAGGAAUUGACGG
RNAcentral lists this ribosomal RNA (873 nucleotides) under uncultured bacterium. RNAcentral's name for it is "bacterial SSU rRNA". It matches the Rfam family "Bacterial small subunit ribosomal RNA", at positions 49 to 916 of the family's 1533-position model. The record is from RNAcentral.